Schistocerca nitens (vagrant locust) is the source of this 418-nucleotide long non-coding RNA. RefSeq lists it as uncharacterized. Lineage: Eukaryota; Metazoa; Arthropoda; Insecta; Orthoptera; Acrididae. The record is from RefSeq and is a predicted model, not a curated record. The transcript is spliced from 3 exons.
AGAACGGUUGAGCUAGUGAUGCAAAAUUACCGCAGUGAAAGUAAUUCUACAUCCGAUGAAGAAAUUACAGAAGCAGAAGAAAAGAAUGGUGAAACCUCGUCUGCAAUACAAAACUGUUCCGAAGUGAACGACUGCAAGAGUUAACUGAAGAAGAUUGCAAUGAUUUCAAAGUGCUUAGUUCGGGUUCAUCAGAUGAUUUCAUACCAGAAAACAGCAUGGAUUCUUCAUCAUCAUCACCAUCACCAUCUCCGAGGCCAAAGAAAAGGAGAGCUGCAGUUCAACAGAAACUGCAACUAUCUUUAGAAAACCUCGGCAAUGUCACAAAGGAGAUACAAUACGGAAAUCCACGUUCACCGACAAAUCAGCUAUUCAGUACUGAUUCUUCAAUUUGUGUGGCAAAGGUUUUGUGAUGUUAAUG